RNAcentral lists this ribosomal RNA (448 nucleotides) under uncultured bacterium. Its description in RNAcentral is "partial 16S ribosomal RNA". It matches the Rfam family "Bacterial small subunit ribosomal RNA", at positions 330 to 793 of the family's 1533-position model. The record is from RNAcentral.
CCCAGACUCCUACGGGAGGCAGCAGUGGGGAAUAUUGGGCAAUGGAGGAAACUCUUACCCAGCAAUGCCGCGUGAAUGAAGAAGGUCUUCGGAUUGUAAAGUUCUUUAAUUGGGGACGAAAAAAAUGACGGUACCCAAGGAAUAAGCCCCGGCUAACUACGUGCCAGCAGCCGCGGUAAUACGUAGGGAGCGAGCGUUGUCCGGAAUUACUGGGUGUAAAGGGAGCGUAGGCGGGCUUGUAAGUUGAAUGUCUAAUCCACCGGCUCAACCGGUGAUCGCGUUCAAAACUGCAGGUCUUGAGUGAAGUAGAGGCAGGCGGAAUUCCUAGUGUAGCGGUGAAAUGCGUAGAUAUUAGGAGGAACACCAGUGGCGAAGGCGGCCUGCUGGGCUUUAACUGACGCUGAGGCUCGAAAGCGUGGGGAGCAAACAGGAUUAGAUACCCCAGUAC